AUACGUAGGGGGCGAGCGUUGUCCGGAAUUACUGGGCGUAAAGGGCGCGUAGGCGGCCCGGUAAGUCUGGAGUGAAAGUCCUGUUUUUAAGAUGGGAAUUGCUUUGGAUACUGUCGGGCUUGAGUGCAGGAGAGGUAAGUGGAAUUCCCAGUGUAGCGGUGAAAUGCGUAGAGAUUGGGAGGAACACCAGUGGCGAAGGCGACUUACUGGACUGUAACUGACGCUGAGGCGCGAAAGUGUGGGGAGCAAACAGGAUUAGAUACCCUGGUAGUCCACACUGUAAACGAUGAAUGCUAGGUGUAGGGGGUAUCGACCCCUUAUGUGCCGCAGUCAACACAAUAAGCAUUCCGCCUGGGGAGUACGGCCGCAAGGUUGAAGCUUAAAGGAAUUGACGGGG
This 397-nucleotide ribosomal RNA is filed under the name uncultured bacterium. RNAcentral describes it as "partial 16S ribosomal RNA". It matches the Rfam family "Bacterial small subunit ribosomal RNA", at positions 523 to 918 of the family's 1533-position model. The record is from RNAcentral.